UCAGUCGACUCCUACGGGGAGGCAGCAGUGGGGAAUAUUGCACAAUGGGGGAAACCCUGAUGCAGCCAUGCCGCGUGUGUGAAGAAGGCCUUCGGGUGUAAAGCACUUUCAGUAGGGAGGAAGGUAGUGUAGUUAACACCUGCACUAUUUGACGUUACCUACAGAAGAAGCACCGGCUAACUCCGUGCCAGCAGCCGCGGUAAUACGGAGGGUGCGAGCGUUAAUCGGAAUUACUGGGCGUAAAGCGCAUGCAGGCGGCCUGUUAAGUCAGAUGUGAAAGACCCGGGGCUUAACCUCGGAAUUGCAUUUGAAACUGGCAGGCUAGAGUCUUGUAGAGGGGGGUAGGAAUUUCAGGUGUAGCGGUGAAAUGCGUAGAGAUCUGAAGGAAUACCAGUGGCGAAGGCGGCCCCCUGGACAAAGACUGACGCUCAGAUGCGAAAGCGUGGGGAGCAAACAGGAUUAGAUACCCUGGUAG
RNAcentral lists this ribosomal RNA (475 nucleotides) under uncultured bacterium. RNAcentral describes it as "bacterial SSU rRNA". It matches the Rfam family "Bacterial small subunit ribosomal RNA", at positions 328 to 793 of the family's 1533-position model. The record is from RNAcentral.